UAAGGAAUAUUGGUCAAUGGACGCAAGUCUGAACCAGCCAUGCCGCGUGAAGGAUGAAGGUCCUCUGGAUUGUAAACUUCUUUUAUCUGGGACGAAAACGGGAUUUUUAUCUCAAUUGACGGUACCAGAGGAAUAAGCACCGGCUAACUCCGUGCCAGCAGCCGCGGUAAUACGGAGGGUGCAAGCGUUAUCCGGAUUUAUUGGGUUUAAAGGGUCCGUAGGCGGACUUAUAAGUCAGUGGUGAAAGCCUGUCGCUUAACGAUAGAACUGCCAGUGAUACUGUAAGUCUUGAGUAUAUUUGAGGUAGCUGGAAUAAGUAGUGUAGCGGUGAAAUGCAUAGAUAUUACUUAGAACACCAAUUGCGAAGGCAGGUUACCAAGAUAUAACUGACGCUGAGGGACGAAAGCGUGGGGAGCGGACA
This 421-nucleotide ribosomal RNA is filed under the name uncultured bacterium. RNAcentral's name for it is "bacterial SSU rRNA". It matches the Rfam family "Bacterial small subunit ribosomal RNA", at positions 355 to 774 of the family's 1533-position model. The record is from RNAcentral.